GGACGGGCGGUGUGUACAAGACCCGGGAACGCAUUCACCGUGGCACGCUGAUCCACGAUUACUAGUAAUUCCAGCUUCAUGCACUCGAGUUGCAGAGUGCAAUCCGAACUGAGGCAUCUUUUCGGGAUUUGCUUAACGUUGCCGUUUUGCUUCCUGUUGUAGAUGCCAUUGUAGCACGUGUGUAGCCCAACACGUAAGGGCCAUGAGGACUUGACGUCAUCCCCACCUUCCUCCAGCUUAUCACUGGCAGUUCUUUCAGAGUGCCCAACUUAAUGAUGGCAACUAAAAGUGAGGGUUGCGCUCGUUGCGGGACUUAACCCAACAUCUCACGACACGAGCUGACGACAGCCAUGCAGCACCUGUGUUUCGUCCGGCCGAACCGAAAACUCUAAUCUCUUAGAGUCGCGACGAACAUGUCAAGUGUUGGUAAGGUUCUGCGCGUAUCUUCGAAUUAAACCACAUGCUCCACUACUUGUGCGGGUCCCCGUCAAUUCAUUUGAGUUUUAACCUUGCGGUCGUACUCCCCAGGCGGUGUGUUUAUCGCUUUCGCUGCGACACUGAAAAUAAAUUUCCAACGUCUAACACACAUCGUUUACGGCAUGGACUACGAGGGUAUCUAAUCCUCUUCGCUACCCAUGCUUUCGUUCCUCAGUGUCAGUAAUGAUCCAGAAAGCUGCCUUCGCAAUUGGUAUUCUUUCUAAUAUCUACGAAUUUCACCUCUACACUAGAAAUUCUGCUUU
RNAcentral lists this ribosomal RNA (740 nucleotides) under uncultured bacterium. RNAcentral describes it as "partial 16S ribosomal RNA". The record is from RNAcentral.